GAACAUAAAUUUUCUCCACAAAGUACCAAAUAAAAAUUACAUACAAAAUUAAAAUGUCUAUAAAUAACUCAAAUGUUUCACAGUACAUUUUAGCACGAUUAGAAAAGACAAAUAUAAGUUUUGUGUCAAAGUUUUAAGUUUCUACGAAUAAUUUUAAUUGCAUUACAACGAAAAAUUGUAAACUUUCCCGUUUAUUCUACCAUUU
Cinara cedri is the source of this 205-nucleotide non-coding RNA. The record is from the annotation of a GenBank genome assembly. NCBI's taxonomy places the organism in Eukaryota, Metazoa, Arthropoda, Insecta, Hemiptera, Aphididae.